UGCCUGUUCUAUGGUUCCUCUCAGUUUGC
This 29-nucleotide non-coding RNA is filed under the name Mus musculus (house mouse). The record is from RNAcentral. Lineage: Eukaryota; Metazoa; Chordata; Mammalia; Rodentia; Muridae.